This 495-nucleotide ribosomal RNA is filed under the name uncultured bacterium. Its description in RNAcentral is "partial 16S ribosomal RNA". It matches the Rfam family "Bacterial small subunit ribosomal RNA", at positions 28 to 507 of the family's 1533-position model. The record is from RNAcentral.
GACGAACGCUGGCGGCGUGCCUAAUACAUGCAAGUAGAACGCUGAAGGAGGAGCUUGCUUCUCUGGAUGAGUUGCGAACGGGUGAGUAACGCGUAGGUAACCUGCCUGGUAGCGGGGGAUAACUAUUGGAAACGAUAGCUAAUACCGCAUAAGAGUAGAUGUCGCAUGACAUUUGCUUAAAAGGUGCAAUUGCAUCACUACCAGAUGGACCUGCGUUGUAUUAGCUAGUUGGUGAGGUAACGGCUCACCAAGGCAACGAUACAUAGCCGACCUGAGAGGGGGAUCGGCCACGCUGGGACUGAGACACGGCCCAGACUCCUGCGGGAGGCAGCAGUAGGGAAGCUUCGGCAAUGGACGGAAGUCUGACCGAGCAACGCCGCGUGAGUGAAGAAGGUGUUCGGAUCGUAAAGCUCUGUUGUAAGAGAAGAACGAGUGUGAGAGUGGAAAGUUCACACUGUGACGGUAUCUUACCAGAAAGGGACGGCUAACUACGUG